Molecule: ribosomal RNA, 1369 nt
Filed under: uncultured bacterium
Lineage: Bacteria
Description: bacterial SSU rRNA
Rfam family: Bacterial small subunit ribosomal RNA
Source: RNAcentral
GACGAACGCUGGCGGCGUGCCUAAUACAUGCAAGUAGAACGCUGAAGAGAGGAGCUUGCUCUUCUUGGAUGAGUUGCGAACGGGUGAGUAACGCGUAGGUAACCUGCCUUGUAGCGGGGGAUAACUAUUGGAAACGAUAGCUAAUACCGCAUAACAAUGGAUGACACAUGUCAUUUAUUUGAAAGGGGCAAUUGCUCCACUACAAGAUGGACCUGCGUUGUAUUAGCUAGUAGGUGAGGUAACGGCUCACCUAGGCGACGAUACAUAGCCGACCUGAGAGGGUGAUCGGCCACACUGGGACUGAGACACGGCCCAGACUCCUACGGGAGGCAGCAGUAGGGAAUCUUCGGCAAUGGGGGCAACCCUGACCGAGCAACGCCGCGUGAGUGAAGAAGGUUUUCGGAUCGUAAAGCUCUGUUGUAAGUCAAGAACGAGUGUGAGAGUGGAAAGUUCACACUGUGACGGUAGCUUACCAGAAAGGGACGGCUAACUACGUGCCAGCAGCCGCGGUAAUACGUAGGUCCCGAGCGUUGUCCGGAUUUAUUGGGCGUAAAGCGAGCGCAGGCGGUUUGAUAAGUCUGAAGUUAAAGGCUGUGGCUCAACCAUAGUUCGCUUUGGAAACUGUCAAACUUGAGUGCAGAAGGGGAGAGUGGAAUUCCAUGUGUAGCGGUGAAAUGCGUAGAUAUAUGGAGGAACACCGGUGGCGAAAGCGGCUCUCUGGUCUGUAACUGACGCUGAGGCUCGAAAGCGUGGGGAGCGAACAGGAUUAGAUACCCUGGUAGUCCACGCCGUAAACGAUGAGUGCUAGGUGUUGGAUCCUUUCCGGGAUUCAGUGCCGCAGCUAACGCAUUAAGCACUCCGCCUGGGGAGUACGACCGCAAGGUUGAAACUCAAAGGAAUUGACGGGGGCCCGCACAAGCGGUGGAGCAUGUGGUUUAAUUCGAAGCAACGCGAAGAACCUUACCAGGUCUUGACAUCCCGAUGCUAUUUCUAGAGAUAGAAAGUUACUUCGGUACAUCGGUGACAGGUGGUGCAUGGUUGUCGUCAGCUCGUGUCGUGAGAUGUUGGGUUAAGUCCCGCAACGAGCGCAACCCCUAUUGUUAGUUGCCAUCAUUCAGUUGGGCACUCUAGCGAGACUGCCGGUAAUAAACCGGAGGAAGGUGGGGAUGACGUCAAAUCAUCAUGCCCCUUAUGACCUGGGCUACACACGUGCUACAAUGGUUGGUACAACGAGUUGCGAGUCGGUGACGGCAAGCUAAUCUCUUAAAGCCUAUCUCAGUUCGGAUUGUAGGCUGCAACUCGCCUACAUGAAGUCGGAAUCGCUAGUAAUCGCGGAUCAGCACGCCGCGGUGAAUACGUUCCCGGGCCU